AUGCACCCCUCUGCACAAGUGCCCCAUACACCCCAUGCAGCCCUAUACAUGAGUGUCCAAUUCACCCCAUGCACAACUGUCUCAUUUGUGACACUACACCCCCCAUGCACCCCCAUGAACAAGGGUUCCAUACACCUCGUGAACCCCUGUGUAUGGGCAUCCCAUACACCCUGUGCACCCCUAUGCACAGUAUCCCACUCACAGCCCUGCAUCCCCACGCAUUCCCAUGCACACCCAUACAUGAGUAUCCCAUACACAGCCCUGUACCCCCAAACACCGUAUGCACAGCACCACAUUCACAACCCCACACCCUCACACACCCUAUGCAGUGUCCCAUACACAACCCUGCAUUCCCACGCACACCCAUGCACGAAUACCCCAUACACAGCCCCACACCCCCUUAUGCACAGCAUCCCACUCACAGCCCUGCACCCGCAUACACACCCAUACACGAAUAUCCCAUACACAGCCCUGCACCCCCAUGCCCCCCCAUGCACAGCGUCCCAUUCACAGCUAAACACCCCCAUGCAUCCCCAUACAGUGUCCCAUACAAUCUUCCACCCUCAUGCACCCCCAUACACGAGUAUCCAAUACACAGCCCUGCACCCCCACUUCUCCCUAUGCGUAGUGUCCCAUACACAGCCCUGCACCCCCCUAUGCACAGCGUCCCACUCACAGCCCUGCACCCCAAUGCACACCCAUACACGAAUAUCCCAUACACAGCCCUGCACCCCCACACCCCUAUGCACAGGGUCCCAUUCGCAGCCCUGCACCCCCAAACACCCCUACGCACGAGCAUCCCAUUCACAGCCCCGCACCCCCGUGCACGCCCCAUGUACCCACAUGCACAGUGUCCCAUACACCCCAAACGCAAACACCCCAUACACCCCCCGCGCACCCCCACACACCUCUAUGCACAGAGUCCCGUACAUCCCACGAACUCCACGCACCCCUAUGCACGAGUGCCCCAUAUACCCCAAUAACCCCCCACGCACCCCUACGUACGACCAUCCCGCACACCCCCUAUGCACGACUGUCCCACCUCCAUCCAGCGCAGUGACCCAUACCCAGCCCCGCACCCCCAUACACCUCCAACCUCCCCCAGGUACCCGCACCGCUCUGCUGCAGCCUCGCUCUCUCCGUGGCUCCGUUCCGCUUCCGCGGGGCCGCUCCCCAACCCCCCCCCACCCCCCGCAGCCGCCCCUCCCACUGCCCCCAUCCGCUCCGACCCGCUGCCCCCGGGGCUGUGUUAUCCCGUUGCUCCGCGCCCGCUUAUCGCUGCGAUGA
RNAcentral lists this long non-coding RNA (1287 nucleotides) under Phasianus colchicus (ring-necked pheasant). Its description in RNAcentral is "lncRNA (ENSPCLG00000011760.1)". Lineage: Eukaryota; Metazoa; Chordata; Aves; Galliformes; Phasianidae. The record is from RNAcentral.